AACUUUGUUUGUCAAUCCAUUCUCUGCACUCGACGUUUGGAAGUUGUGAUCGAAAUUCUUGCAGUUAAAUGGAUCCUCUUGCACUCAUUGCUUCGUAAUCAAAACAGACUAAGUAAACAAAAAAUCUUAGGACACAAGGAAAUGGAUGAAUGUAAAAUGCCAAAAAAAUCAUAGCUUUCAGUCCAUAGAAGAUUUAUUACGUCGAAU
Schizosaccharomyces pombe (fission yeast) is the source of this 207-nucleotide non-coding RNA. The record is from the annotation of a GenBank genome assembly. NCBI's taxonomy places the organism in Eukaryota, Fungi, Ascomycota, Schizosaccharomycetes, Schizosaccharomycetales, Schizosaccharomycetaceae.